GGAUGGUGCAGAAGACACUGCGGUUGCUGUGGAAACCACCUUCCACCCGGGCUGUGAUCCUCGUUGCCAUGGCUGUCACCUUCUGCCCAUUGUGGGCUGCCGAGGGACGUCUGAGAGAAUUUUCAAGCUCUAUGACCACAGAUGUUUACAGAAGCUUUAUUCAUAAUCACCAAAAACUAGAAACUACCUAAAUACCCUUCAGCUGAUGACUGAAUAAAUGUGCAGUACACCCACACAGGGGAAGACUACUCAGCAAUUGAAAGGAAUGAACGCCUUACAUGCAACACCAUGAAUGAAUCUCCAGCAUGUUAGGCUAAGUGAAAGAAGCCAGACUCAAAAGACUACAUACUGCAGGAUUUCUGGGUUUUUUUUUGUUUUUACUUUUAUUUUUUAAUUUUUAAUUUUUUUUUUUCUGAGACAGACUCUUGCUCUGUUACCCAGGCUGGAGUGCAGUAGUGCGAUCUGGGUUCACUGCAACCUCUUCCUCCCAGGUUCAAGUGAUCCUCCUGCCUCAGCCUCCCGAGUAGCUGGGACUACAGUUGUGUGCCAUGACGCCCAGCUAAUUUUUGUAUUUUUAGUAGAGAUGGGGUUUCACCAUGUUGGCCAGGCUAGUCUCGAAAUCCCGACCUCAGGUGAUCCACCCACCUUGGCCUCCCAAAGUGCUGGGAUUACAGGCGUGAGCCACCGCACCCGGCCACAAUUUCUUUUAUAUGACAUUUGGGAAAAUGCAAAUCUAUGGGGGAUAGAAGUUGGUGGGUUUCCAGUCACCCAAACUCUUGUAGACAGCAUGGAGGGCCAAGGAAAAAAUGAUAGUGAAGCUGUGGUCAGAGUUUUCUGAUGCUUGAGUUACAAGGAACCAGCUUUACACACUAAGUCUCCAUUUGCUUAAGGCAACACAUUGUCUUAUAUGUAUUUUUAUGAUAACGAUGUUACAAUGAAAGGACUGGAAAGGUGUGGACAGAAUCAGAGGUUGGCUACUAGCAUGCGAGUAAAAAGGCCUAAGCUAUGUCGGGAGGACUGCAUGUAUUUGAGUUUGGCAGCAGGGGAGCACAACUGAAAAGGAGUGAUGAAAUGAGAGGUUGGAAAAGACAAUUAGGACCUCAGGGUACACAGUGGACAAUACCAGAGCUGGCAUUGGCAAAGUACAGGCCGUAUCCUGUGCCCUGGGGUCUCCAAAGGGGAAGAGGAGGUGGAUCCCAGGGAGUCCACAAUAUAAUCUGCUGGGAUAUGGGAAGAAAAUACUAGAAUUUUGGUUUUUUUUAACUUUAUACUUUAAAAUUUUCUAUUUUGGGGAUAGUUUAUAAUGUAAAUAAUAUACUGCUAGAAUACACACAUAUAAGUUAUAAAUAGGUAUACCGGUGAGGUGCAGUGGCUCACACCUGUAAUCUCAGUACUUUGGGAGGCUAAGGCAGGUGGAUCACCUGAGGUCAGGAGUUCAAGACCAGGCUGGUCAACAUGGCAAAACCGUCUCUACUAAAAACACAGCCGGGAGUGGUGGUGGGCACCUGUAAUCCCAGCUGCUCAGGAGGCUGAGGCAGGAGGAUCGCUUGAACCUGGGAGGAAGAGGUUGCAGUGAGCCGAGGUCGUACCACUGCACUGCAGCCUGGGCAACACAGUGAGACUUGGUCUCUAAAUAAAUAAAUAAAUAUUAGGUAUACCUACAUCAGGGGGUUUCUUCAAAGAAUAUUUUUUCCCGAGAGGGUGUGUGAUACAAAAAGUAUGGAGAUCAUUACUACAGAACAUGAAGAUCCAUGAGAGGUUUUUAACCACGGAUGUGAUGUGACCAGAGCUCUCACUUAGAAAGAAGAACCUGGCAGGAUGCAUGGGACAACCUCCAGAGUGGAGCAGGGGGUGGCCACGGGCAGGGAGACUGGCAGGAGGCUGCUGCAGGGGGACAGGUGACAUUGGCGGUGCAGUAGUGAUACCAACUACAGCAAAUAUCAGUAUGAUUUUACAACCAGAAUGCAAAAGCGAAAGCAUGGACCAAUCAGAACACAGCCCAAGCAGAAGCAACUGGAACAGCUGUGCAUUGCAGUAACACAGGCAGUACAGGUUAGGGUGAGCGGUGCUGAGACCUGAAUUAGGAUGGCAGAAGUUGGGGAAGAGGAGGUGCUGGAAAAAGGAACAUUUUAGAAGCAGAAUCAACAAGACCUGGUGACUGACUGGACAUCUUCGGAUUAGGGAGAAAAAGGGAGCAGAAGUGUUGUUCUCAGAACACUGAGUGGAUGGUGAUGUCGCUGAAGUGGGGAACGUGAAAGGACAGAGAGGUUUGAGGAAGAUGGGUGGCGGCAAUUGUGAUACAUUGAGGCAGAGUGACUAAAGGACAGCAGCAGCAUCAACUAACAUUUUUACAACCCCUCAGAGAUUCAGCCAGAUAGUGUGAUCUUAUUAAGUGGAUUUUACUAAGGCUCAAAGAUGUGAAGUAAGUUGCCCAAGGUCACACAGCCAGUAACCUGCAGAGCUGAGAUUUGAAACCAUGUCCUCCUGACUCUUAAAAAGCUUAUUCCCUCCUGGGGAGUCCUCAGCCCAGGCCUGACAUAGAGCCAGACACAGGCCUCUUUCUGACUGGCGUCGACAGCUGGCAGGGUUGCAGGGAGCCCGGGCAGCCACA
Molecule: long non-coding RNA, 2611 nt
Organism: Pongo pygmaeus (Bornean orangutan)
Lineage: Eukaryota; Metazoa; Chordata; Mammalia; Primates; Hominidae
Exons: 2
Source: RefSeq, a predicted model, not a curated record